GAAGAUUUUAAUGCUGUGCCUUGGUGUUUCGGUCUCGAUCAAGGGCAAUGAGUCUCCAUGAAUCACCUCUUUGUUUUGGCUAUCAUGGUAGGACAUUAUUGACAAGCCAGGGUAUUACAAGAAAAUCUCCUUUUUGCCUUUAUUGUUUUCAUUUGAUCUGCUCUAUUUCCCUUAUAGUUUCUUCAAGUGUUUAUUGAGCACUACCAUAAUCGUUUGGGCACACUGGAUGCUGGUGACACACAAUGGUGAACAAAACAGACAAAAGUCUUUGCUAUCAUCCAUCGUGAAGCAUAUAUUCUAGUGUGAAGAGACUCCAGAGAAACAAAACAAGAUAACUACCUGAGCCACUUCUUAACUGGUGCAACACCUGGCUGAAUGCUCAGGGCACACCGCAGAAGGUGGGACGUGGGAGGCUCUAAGAGCCCUUCAGGAGGUGUGGAGGUUUCAGGAGAUCAUGGAGAGGACAAGAGCGCCCGUUGACCCACGAACCGGAUCCGGAAUUCAGAGGCUCACCCGCCCCCACCCCAGCCCCGGAACGUACGGAACGUACGUUCUGCCCACCCUUUCCACGGUUGGAGCCAUUUUCAAGGACGCAGCUUGAGGUGUUGAGCCCAUCUCUACCGCUUAGGUGGCUGAACCCAGCAAAGCACAGCCGCUGCUCCUUACCUUGGAUGAGGGGUAUCUCCUUACCGCCACCGUUUCUGGUCAGAAGUUACCAUAGAAGCUUCCAAGUAUAA
RNAcentral lists this long non-coding RNA (737 nucleotides) under Capra hircus (goat). RNAcentral's name for it is "lncRNA (ENSCHIG00000005838.1)". The record is from RNAcentral. Lineage: Eukaryota; Metazoa; Chordata; Mammalia; Artiodactyla; Bovidae.